GGCUACAUGCCUGGUGCAAUUUAGGGAUACAUUUACGAUCACAGGUUAUGGUUGCCCUGAUAUCAACGUUGACUUGUGCAAGUCUAAAUUUUUGGCCUUUUGGAAGGCUCUCUCUCUCAUAAACACACACUUGCACAACGAAAAGCACAGGUUUCUAAUCCGGGGCAAAUAAUUCUAGUUUGGGAGGUGUCUUGACCACUUGCAGUCAGAGGUACACCGUCCUAUCACCUUCACUCGUUUUUUGGAUGGAUUGCAUGUGAUUUGAUCACUUUAUGCCUCUUGCGCCUGUUUCAAAGGAAAACUAAGGCUCUGUUGUUCAGUAUUUGAGAUGAUUUGGUGUCUCGUUGGUUGUGGAUAUCAACAUUUUUGUGUUUCUUUGUCACUGCUUACUUGGUAUGAACAGAGAUUGUCAGUUUGUUGAUUAUACAUUUAACAGCUUCAGAAUCACUGAUGCAAAUGUUGGAACCAAAAACAACUAAUGUCCUGUUCGAGUAUAUAUAUAUAUAGCAAAUGUUCUCCCAAUAAAGGUCAUAGCUGAAACAGUUAGGGAUAAGGGAUGGAAGUCCAAGAAAACUGCCCGAGUCUUUGAGAUGGAAUUUCCUCUGCCCUACUACCGUCUUGUCUUUGCUUGAGAAAGUCCACCCUUAUCAUUUCUUACCUAUAUUAUCUUUACCCAGAAAGUUGAAUCUCUCCCUUUUCCUCUCUGUCUUAUUUUUUCUAACUGCAGGUGGCUUCUAAUCUAAAGCCAAGUGGGGUUCUAUCUUUCUCUCUCUUCUACACACACAGGAGACUGGGGUAGGGUUCCUGGUGGCUGGUGUACAUAAGCUCUUUAUUUUGGUACCGGACUUGGCCAUUCACAGGUACACUGCUUUAUCCUUAUCAUGUUAACUCACUUGCCAUGAAUUCUACUGUUAGAGAGUUUUUGUAGAAGAUUAGGGAAUUGUUUUUCAUCUUCAUCUCUGAUGCAAUAUUAAUCAUAGAUAUUUUAGUUUGGCCAUUAUGGAGUGUGUAUUAUGCAAAUUUCUGAACUGGAUAGUUACAUGGAUCUUAAAAAUCAAUGGCCUUAUUUUUCUGCAAUUCAUUCUCUGCUAAUGAUUUCCGGAUCUAUGAGGCUCAAAAGGAGGAAAUAUGAUGGAAGAUUGCCAUUUUAGCAUUGUAGAUCACCACAAGGACCUAACUUGUAAGGAAUCUUGCAUCAAAUCCUAUCAUUAGCGAUAUGAAAAGAUACAUGCAUCACAAAAUUGAAAUACACAGCUAGAGAUAGACUGGAAUGUUUUCUUAUACAAGUAUAGCCUAUAUAUGAUUCAUUUGGUGUUAGAAUUUAAUGUGAAUUCUGAGUUUAAUGAAUAGAAUUGGUGGCAUGAGUACUUGCUGGGAGACCAAGAAGGAUAAGAAAGUAAACAAGGAAACUGCAUUCAUAAAGAAUGGAAGCAAAUUACUGGAGAAGCUUGUUGACAUUUGUGAUGGAAAAUGCAAUUCUAUUCGUAGUUUCUCGGCCACAGAGCUCAAGAAAGCAACAAACAACUAUGAUCCACAGAAAAUAUUGACCAGCGAUUCAGGCUAUAAAUUGUACAAGGGUUUUUUGCAAGGCAGACCUGUUUCUGUUAAGAAAUUUAAGGAUGACGAUGAACAGUAUGAAUAUUGUUUCAAUGACAUUGUUUAUGCAUCAAAAAUGAGUGUACAUAAAAGUUUUAUGAAGUUGUUAGGCUGCUGCUUGGAGGCUCAGAUUCCUAUUCUAGUUUUCGAAUAUGUUGGAGAUUGGACACUUUCUGAUUUUCUAUGGGGCUCUGAGGAAGCCCGUUGUCAGCCUUUGCUAUGGAUUCCAAGGUCAAAAAUUGCAAUGGAUAUGGCUAAUGCAGUUGCUUUUCUUCAUGCUGCUUUUUCCAAACCCAUUGUUUUUAGAAAUAUCAAACCCUUGAACAUCUUACUGGAUGACAACCAUGAGGCCAAAUUGUCAGAUUUCUCGAUCUCCAUAUCAAUUCCUAAAGGUGAAUCUCAUGUACGGGAUUCAGUUGCAGGGGCAACAGGACUCAUCGCACCCGAGUACCUGACCACUGGUAAUUUCAAUGAGAAGCAAGAUGUUUUCAACUUUGGUGUAUUCCUACUUGUGCUUUUGUCUGGACAGAUGGUGGUUGAUUUUUCUCGUCCUGAAAAGGAAAUUCUCUUACAAGAUCAUGUGAAAAAAUGCAUUGAAGAUGAUAGGUUUAACAAAGUCAUAGAUUCCACUAUCAUUGCCGAGGGGACUUGGCCAGGAAAAGAGCAGCAAUUGCAGGCUUAUACAGCACUUUCCCUGAGAUGCAUCUCUGAAUUAGCAGAAGAUAGACCAACAAUGAUUGAUGUUUCAAAGGAACUCAGGAAAAUAUAUUGGUCUGCAAUUUCUUGCCGUCAGCAAUAAGGAUGAUCAUGCAUACCUUUUCCAUUGACUGAUACUACCGAUUACUUCUUGGUCAACUUUCGAUCCUUUUUAUGCAGUCUUUGAGGCUACUCCAUCAGGAGCUACUGUAAAAUGUAAAAGGCUAAUACAGAAGAAAAUAACGGAACAAGAAGUCAAGAACUCCAAGAAUUAAGAGUAGGCAGCAGCAUCAUGCUGUUAUCAUAAAAGAAAGAGCAAAGAAAAGGAAAGAUACAGGCUGUGCGUGUCAUUCUGAAAUGUUUCCAAGUGUUAUUUGGUUUACAUGUUACAAGGGGAGCACAAUGCAUGAAACUCAAUAGAGAAAAGGAAGACUACUGCAGGAGUUGCUGAUAGCCUGAGAUAUUCAUUGCAUAGAUUGAAUCAGAAUGAGGCAAAGAGUUGUUUGGUGAGACUCCGAAAUAUGAACAUACUCUCUCAAGUGGAGUGUUUUUUUUACUUGAAAUUUAUACAAAUUCACACUUAUGUGUUGUGCUAUUAA
RNA transcript from Populus nigra (black poplar), 2891 nucleotides. It is a transcript of the gene named non-functional pseudokinase ZED1-like, with no coding region annotated. The record is from RefSeq and is a predicted model, not a curated record. NCBI's taxonomy places the organism in Eukaryota, Viridiplantae, Streptophyta, Magnoliopsida, Malpighiales, Salicaceae. The transcript has 2 exons.